GUGAGGAAUUUUCCGCAAUGGGCGAAAGCCUGACGGAGCAAUGCCGCGUGAAGGAUGAAGGCCUAUGGGUUGUAAACUUCUUUUCUCAGAAAAGAAUUAUGACGGUAUCUGAGGAAUAAGCAUCGGCUAACUCUGUGCCAGCAGCCGCGGUAAGACAGAGGAUGCAAGCGUUAUCCGGAAUGAUUGGGCGUAAAGCGUCUGUAGGUUGUUUAAAAAGUAUUCUGUCAAAGAUUAGGGCUUAACCCUAGAUAGGCAGAAUAAACUUUUAAGCUAGAGUGUGGUAGAGGCAGAGGGAAUUCCCGGUGGAGCGGUGAAAUGCGUAGAUAUCGGGAGGAACACCAAAGGCGAAGGCACUCUGCUGGGCCAAUACUAACACUGAGAGACGAAAGCGAGGGGAGCAAAUGGGAUUAGAACCCCUGUAGUCC
Molecule: ribosomal RNA, 425 nt
Filed under: uncultured bacterium
Lineage: Bacteria
Description: partial 16S ribosomal RNA
Rfam family: Bacterial small subunit ribosomal RNA
Source: RNAcentral